This 450-nucleotide ribosomal RNA is filed under the name uncultured bacterium. RNAcentral describes it as "partial 16S ribosomal RNA". It matches the Rfam family "Bacterial small subunit ribosomal RNA", at positions 354 to 796 of the family's 1533-position model. The record is from RNAcentral.
GUGGGGAAUCUUCCGCAAUGGACGAAAGUCUGACGGAGCAACGCCGCGUGAGUGAUGACGGUCUUCGGAUUGUAAAGCUCUGUUAAUCGGGACGAAAGAGCUCUGUGUGAAUAAUGCAGAGAAGUGACGGUACCGGAAUAGAAAGCCACGGCUAACUACGUGCCAGCAGCCGCGGUAAUACGUAGGUGGCAAGCGUUGUCCGGAAUUAUUGGGCGUAAAGCGCGCGCAGGCGGGUUUUUAAGUCUGUCUUAAAAGUUCGGGGCUUAACCCCGUGAGGGGAUGGAAACUGGAAACCUAGAGUAUCGGAGAGGAAAGCGGAAUUCCUAGUGUAGCGGUGAAAUGCGUAGAUAUUAGGAAGAACACCAGUGGCGAGGGCGGCUUUCUGGACGAAAACUGACGCUGAGGCGCGAAAGCCAGGGGAGCAAACGGGAUUAGAUACCCGAGUAGUCC